Molecule: long non-coding RNA, 3539 nt
Organism: Homo sapiens (human)
Lineage: Eukaryota; Metazoa; Chordata; Mammalia; Primates; Hominidae
Exons: 2
Source: RefSeq, a predicted model, not a curated record
GCCUCCCAAAGUGUUGGAAUUACAGGCGUGAGCCACUGAAUCCGGCCAAUGUUAUGCAUUUAAGUGUGGGGAGCAGAAGACUGGAUAUGCAAGAGCAUACAUCUGGAUACCUUUUACCUCUUGGCUUGUGGGGAAAAUGACCUGCAGGAUUUUACAUGGAGCUUCCUGUGUGCAUGCUGGUGACUGUUGGCAACAAGGUGUCAGGAAGAAAGACAUUGCUUUCCAAACUCCUUUUCCCAAAUGAUCCUUUCUUACCCAGUCUGCCUUACCUGCUUCUGUACUGUUCAACAGAGGAGGGGGAACAGGGAAAAGCAGGGGCAGUUGUGAAAAAUAGAAGGGAAACUUGAGUGUGCCUUUUUCUUCUCCUUCUCUUUCUCCACCCUCAGUCAUCAUUAACAGAAAAAUAUUUUUAAAAGAUCCCUUGAUGGCAUCCCCAAAUGUUAAGUCUGACAUUUUCUUAGCUGAUGGCCUCCUUUGUGAAGGUACUUUGUGUCCGCCCAGCAUGCCUGCUGGAUCCCUGGUUUGCCGCAGUUGCUGAGGUAAAUACUCUUUCCAUUAAGCACCACAGCCCAAGAGUGGCCUAAAGCUCAAAUAAAUGACCAAGAAGCAACUUAAACAUUCCCUGGGGCGAUUUUAACCUAUGCAAUGGCUUUUUGAAAAAAUUGCCUAUUUUUUCAUGUUUUGGCCGGGGGGGUGUCUCUUAUUCCCUUCUUUUUUAUUUUCCUUUCAGCUGAGUACACCUUCUCUUUCAUUUAUUCAUGCACUGCAUGAAGGAUGGAAGCAGGAUGAAUAAAUCACAGAGCAUUGCCCCUCUCCCCACUCAGGGUCUGUGAAGAGAGCUGGAGCAGAAUACAGUCCAGGCAUUAUGUCAACUUUCAGGGGACCUGGGGCAGGUGGCCGAUUCUCACAGAGACCCCACUUCCCUUUCCUGUGAAAAAUACCACAGCCCAACAGCCACUGGAGAACAGUGUUCUUCUGGAAGCUUCCUCUGGGCAGGAGGAGUCAAAGAUCCUGGUCCUCAGGGACACUUGAGAUGGGUGUGCCCAAAGCUGUGCAGGAUGGUUUGGUUUGUUUUGUUUUUCUUUGCCUCAGGAAGAAUGUGUUCACAAACCUCAGGACAAAUCGUUUAAAAAAGUGUCCUGACAGUUGUCAUGCUUCAUCACUUGAUUUAGAGGCAAUAGGACAGCCUUAUUUUCUUCUAAUCUCUGGUGGUUGAGGAGUCUGGUUGGCCUGGCAGAAGGCUGAGAUUGGCUGAGGGAGUCAUGAGCGAGCAGGGGCCUCUGGUGCCUGAAGCGCCCCUCAGGAAGAGCGGGUCUCACCGGAAGGCCACACUCAUCUCCUUCCUGGUUACCCAGUGUGGGGAUUUGCUACUUUGCUGAGUGUGUUUUGUCUACAUUCAUGGUGCUCCAGAACUGUGUCUGUGUUUCUCACAUUCUCUUUCGUGUCUGCCAGAGCAACAUUCUCAGCAAACCAUCUGAAUGCAACUCCUGUGAUCACAAAAGUCAAUCACUGAUGGAAAUGAAGACCACGACCCUGAUUCCUCAGGCACAGGUUUUCAUCUGUCACUAUGUGCUAAAAGCAAACCAGCAAGUGAGGGUGUCACUGUCAACUGCUCCUUGUCGUGAGAUUCCCACCUUUCCCUCAAGACAUCUCAGAUAUCAUAUGUAACCUUGACCCUGUGUCCCACAGCAACAGCGGUCAUUGAGUGUAAAGCCUUUUCCUUGAGGAUUGUGGUAGACAGAAUGCCCCCCAAAGGUGACUAUGCUUGAAUCCAUGGAAACUGAACAUGUCACCUUCUAUGGCAAAAGGGACUUUGCAGACGUGAUUAAGGUUAAAGACCUUAAAUUAGAGGGAGUACCCUGGACUAUCCAGGUGUCUAAUCUAAUCCCAUGAGACUUCAAAUGCAGAGAGCUUUCUCUGGCUGGAGUCAAAGAGAUGUGACAAAAGAGGUCGUCGGAGAGAUUGGAAGUGUGAGAAAGACCCGACCUACUGUUUCUGGGGAGCCCACCUGGAAAGCACGAGAAGGGACACAGGCAACCUUUGGGAACAAAGACUGCCAGCCACAAGGAAAAGACAGCAGUCCUCUAGCCACAAGAAACCGAAUUCAGCCAGCAACCUGGACAAGCUAGAAGAGCAUUCUUCCCCAGAACCUUUAGGAGGAAGUGAGGCCUUGCAGAUACCCUGAUUUUGGCUUUUGAGACACUAAACAGAGGAUCCAACUGAGUUCAACUGGCCCAGAAACUGAGAUAUGUUUGGACUGUUUUAAGUUGCUACGUUUGUGGUAAUUUAUUUUGGUGGCAACUGAAAAUGAAUGUAAUUGUAUAUUAGAAAAAUUGAAGGUAGAAGCUCUAAUACUUUCUCCCCACACCCCAGUGGUUCAUCAUGUGCAGCACUCAGGGUGUGGAAAUUCCAUUUUGAAGACACCGUCUUCCAGGAUUCUAACCCCCACCUGGGAAAGGUCCUGGAGAGAACUUCUAGCAUGUAUUUCUGAGCCAUUCACAUUUAACCCAGAGAGAGAAGGUGUCCUGCCCAAACGCAAAGCAGCAUGGCGGUAGUUCUGGACAUAACCUUAACAAUUGCCAGGAACUCUCUGGAUGUCCAUCCAUCAGCCCUAUCUAGUCUUUUUGUCUGCAUGGCAUUGUGGGGGAUGUGGCGAUGAGGGCCAGGAUCGCAGAAGUCAGAGUACCCGUGGCUGGAGCUUCCAUUUUAAAUGAAGUGUUCUUGCUUAUGGCUUGAUGGUAUCCUUUCAGAUUUUGCAUCUGGCUGUACUCCAGAUGUUUAUAUAGAAACUUCACAGUAGACAUGAUGGUGGCGUAGGUUUGCAGGAAGGAUCCUUUCCUACUUACAGAGUGACCCAAUGUGGCCGAUCCCUUCAAUAUUUACAACAGCUGGGUGAGUGGAGGCAUGAUCAACUCCAUUUACCCGUCAAAUAAAUGAAAUUUCAGAGCGGUUACACAAUCUGCUUGAGGUAACAAGGCCAGCAAGCCACAGAGCCAACAUACCCCUGGUGCCUGGCUCCACAGGAGUCUGGGAAGAGGGAGAGGAAGAUGGGGACAGGAUGUAUCACCAGGAUGCUAGGGGAAGAGAGAAUAUUGACGUGUGGGGCAGCCUGCAUCCCCAAAUCAGGAGCACUGGGUGCUGCUGUGUUACAGUGAGUGUAGGAGCAUGCCGUUCUGGGCUUCACUCUGCCCAAAUAUGUCUUGCUCAUUUUCACCGCCAUAUGGCUGCUCGUCCCGGUCUGUUUGAGGUUCCUUCCUGUUCCCUCUCUGCCUCUAAGUCCUUCAAAAAGCCAACUGGAAGUGCCUCUUCCAGGCUUUCCUUAGCCUUUCUUUAUUCCCUUGAACUUCUAUUAUGUUAAUUGUUCAAAAGAUUAGUUCUGACACUUACCCUAUGCUGCUUUGUAUUACUAUUGGAAAACAACAGUAGCUCUCUCAACCCAUUGGGUGGAUGGUACAUGCCAUGCUUUAUACAUUCCCGUGGCCCUGCUGUACCUGGCACACACAAAAGGGGAUUAAUAAAUAUGCAUAUGUUGAAUGAAA